RNAcentral lists this transfer RNA (73 nucleotides) under Minisyncoccota bacterium. RNAcentral describes it as "tRNA-Thr". The record is from RNAcentral. Lineage: Bacteria; Bacillati; Minisyncoccota. RNAcentral also lists the same sequence under 1 other name.
GCCAAUGUAGCUCAGUUGGUAGAGCAGGCGCAUCGUAAGCGUCAGGUCCCCAGUUCAAGCCUGGGCAUUGGCU